RNAcentral lists this ribosomal RNA (319 nucleotides) under Staphylococcus aureus. RNAcentral's name for it is "partial 23S ribosomal RNA". It matches the Rfam family "Bacterial large subunit ribosomal RNA", at positions 1648 to 1966 of the family's 2925-position model. The record is from RNAcentral. Lineage: Bacteria; Bacillati; Bacillota; Bacilli; Caryophanales; Staphylococcaceae.
CGCAAACCGACACAGGUAGUCAAGAUGAGAAUUCUAAGGUGAGCGAGCGAACUCUCGUUAAGGAACUCGGCAAAAUGACCCCGUAACUUCGGGAGAAGGGGUGCUCUUUAGGGUUAACGCCCAGAAGAGCCGCAGUGAAUAGGCCCAAGCGACUGUUUAUCAAAAACACAGGUCUCUGCUAAACCGUAAGGUGAUGUAUAGGGGCUGACGCCUGCCCGGUGCUGGAAGGUUAAGAGGAGUGGUUAGCUUCUGCGAAGCUACGAAUCGAAGCCCCAGUAAACGGCGGCCGUAACUAUAACGGUCCUAAGGUAGCGAAAUU